Molecule: small RNA, 312 nt
Filed under: Pan troglodytes (chimpanzee)
Lineage: Eukaryota; Metazoa; Chordata; Mammalia; Primates; Hominidae
Description: retained intron
Source: RNAcentral
AGUCUAUCUGGAAUUUAUAUUUGAAGAGAUGUGAGGAAGAAAUCUAAGUUAACUAUUUCUCUAUGUAUUUUGAUUUGUCCUAAUACUGGUUAUUGGAUAACACAUCCUGAAAUGCAUUUUAGAAGAUGGAUAAAAUCAAUGCUGAGGACCUAUUCAGAAGGACAGUGAUGCCAGAGCUAGUUAUUCAUUGAACUCAUUCUGUGAGAAAUGUCAGCCAAUCUUUGGACAGCUUUCCUGCCCGCUUUGGAGGAGUCCACUUUGUCAACCAGCCCUGGUACAUUCAUGCCCUCUACACACUCAUCAAGCCAUUUC